GCUAGUCGUGCGAGUUCAGACUCGCGGCAAAUAGCUCAGUAACACGUGGUCAAGCUACCCUACAGAGAACGAUAUCCUCGGGAAACUGAGGCCAAUAGUUCAUAAGGUUCCCAGGCUGGAGUGCCGGGAACUGGAAACGUUCCGACGCUGUAGGAUGCGGCUGCGGUCGAUUAGGUAGACGGUGGGGUAACGGCCCACCGUGCCGAUAAUCGGUACGGGUUGUGAGAGCAAGAGCCCGGAGACGGAAUCUGAGACAAGAUUCCGGGCCCUACGGGGCGCAGCAGGCGCGAAACCUUUACACUGCACGCAAGUGCGAUAAGGGGACUCCGAGUGCGAGGGCAUAUAGUCCUCGCUUUUCUGUACCGUAGGAAGGUACAGGAACAAGAGCUGGGCAAGACCGGUGCCAGCCGCCGCGGUAAUACCGGCAGCUCGAGUGAUGACCGAUUUUAUUGGGCCUAAAGCGUCCGUAGCUGGCCAAGCAAGUCUGUCGGGAAAUCCAUCCGCUCAACGGAUGGGCGUCCGGCGGAAACUCCUUGGCUUGGGACCGGAAGGCUCGAGGGGUACGUCUGGGGUAGGAGUGAAAUCCCGUAAUCCUGGACGGACCACCGAUGGCGAAAGCACCUCGAGAAGACGGAUCCGACAGUGAGGGACGAAAGCUAGGGUCUCGAACCGGAUUAGAUACCCGGGUAGUCCUAGCUGUAAACGAUGUUCGCUAGGUGUGGCACAGGCUACGAGCCUGUGCUGUGCCGUAGGGAAGCCGAGAAGCGAACCGCCUGGGAAGUACGUCCGCAAGGAUGAAA
RNAcentral lists this ribosomal RNA (800 nucleotides) under Halopelagius sp. RNAcentral describes it as "bacterial SSU rRNA". It matches the Rfam family "Archaeal small subunit ribosomal RNA", at positions 53 to 854 of the family's 1478-position model. Lineage: Archaea; Methanobacteriati; Methanobacteriota; Halobacteria; Halobacteriales; Haloferacaceae. The record is from RNAcentral.